This 253-nucleotide ribosomal RNA is filed under the name uncultured bacterium. RNAcentral describes it as "partial 16S ribosomal RNA". It matches the Rfam family "Bacterial small subunit ribosomal RNA", at positions 524 to 776 of the family's 1533-position model. The record is from RNAcentral.
UACGGAGGGUGCAAGCGUUAUCCGGAUUCACUGGGUUUAAAGGGUGCGUAGGAGUGCAGGUAAGUCAGUGGUGAAAUCUCCAAGCUUAACUUGGAAACUGCCGUUGAUACUAUCUGUCUUGAAUACAGUGGAGGUAGGCGGAAUGCGUCAUGUAGCGGUGAAAUGCUUAGAUAUGACGCAGAACACCAAUUGCGAAGGCAGCUUGCUACACUGUUAUUGACACUGAGGCACGAAAGCGUGGGGAUCAAACAGG